UACAGCACACAUCCUUUACUUCUGCACAAAAUAUAUCACAUCACCAUCCUGUAGCACUGAAGUACACCUUUGAUACAGAUGUGCCGUCUCCAGAACAAAGACUUGCUUAUGAAGAAAAUGGCUUUAUUUUGAU
Tachysurus fulvidraco (yellow catfish) is the source of this 133-nucleotide long non-coding RNA. RefSeq lists it as uncharacterized. The transcript is spliced from 2 exons. NCBI's taxonomy places the organism in Eukaryota, Metazoa, Chordata, Actinopteri, Siluriformes, Bagridae. The record is from RefSeq and is a predicted model, not a curated record.